CAGAGAGGAGAGCAGCCUGCCAUGACUCCCGAGGCUUCCAACUCAAGACUUGGGUUGGGGGUGCUGAGCCCCUUUCUCCCUUUUACAUUUCCCUACCCACAGACCUGAGCGGCCAUGGGAGGUUGGGGUUGGCAUUUGCCUGGGGGAGUUUCUGAGCGAGCAGCACCUGCUGCCUUGGUGGAACCCAUUGCUGGGAGUGGCCAGGGCUCAGCACCAGUGCUCAGCAGAUGCUCAGUGCGUUUUGCUGAGUUUGCUGAGGGAAGACUGUUUUCUUUUCUCUCUCACACACACAGAGUGGAUGAGGAUGAGGAUGACCUGGAGGAAGAACACGUAACUAAGAUUUAUUACUGUAGUCGGACACACUCCCAGCUGGCCCAGUUUGUGCAUGAGGUGAAGAAGAGCCCCUUUGGCAAGGAUGUUCGGCUGGUCUCCCUCGGCUCCCGGCAGGUAAACAGUAGCCAGUGUUUCCACCAGGGGCCAUCCUGCUCCUUUCCCCACAACUUUGUCCUCCUUGUCCAGGCCUGGGAGACGCUGGGCCUGCGACAGGCUGAACUGUGUGAGGAGCAGCCCCCUCCCUGGCCUGGCCGGCCCAUCACUGGAAGGCAAAGGAGAGGUGGCGGAGCAGGUCCAUGUGUGUUGGUAGGAUGUCAUUUACCCGGCACCAUCUCUUUGCCUCUUUCUUUCUCCUUUGUUGCAGAACCUUUGUGUAAAUGAAGACGUGAAAAGCCUAGGUUCUGUGCAGCUUAUCAACGACCGCUGUGUGGACAUGCAGAGGAGCAGGCACGGUAGCCACCGGGACCAUGGUGUAGCCAUAGGCAGUCUGGAGAGAGUGAGGGGGGGUGGCAGUGACUGAAGACCAUUAAGUGUCUUGCAUAGAAAGAAUGGCAGAGGAGACCCCAGUUCCUUCCUGAGUCCCCUCUUCCUUGGGAAAAAGUGUUCCUACUCUCUGGGUCAGUGUCUGGUCCGAAUCCUUGGCUUGGAGAUGAUUUUACAGGCUCUUUCUGGAAAACAAAAGUAAAACCUUAUAGUGUUCUGAUGAGACCACAGUAGGCAGUAUUUGGGAGGGUCUUACAGACCCCACCCCAUGGAAGUGGGUCUCAACAUUACAGAACCCCCUCUCGGGCCCGUGGACAGUUGCUGUCUUCUCUGUUUUCUCUCUUUGUGCCUGUGCCACCCUCAGAGAAGAAAGGAGCUGAGGAGGAGAAGCCAAAGAGAAGGAGGCAGGAGAAGCAGGUGGCCUGCCCCUUCUACAACCAUGAGCAGAUGGGCCUCCUCCGGGACGAGGCCCUGGCAGAGGUGAAGGAUAUUGAGCAGCUGCUGGCCCUUGGGAAGGAGGCCCGUGCCUGUCCCUAUUACGGGAGCCGCCUUGCCAUCCCUGCAGCCCAGCUGGUGGUGCUGCCCUAUCAGAUGCUGCUGCAUGCGGCCACUCGGCAGGCUGCGGGCAUCCGGCUGCAGGACCAGGUGGUGAUCAUCGACGAGGCGCACAACCUGAUCGACACCAUCACGGGCAUGCACAGCGUGGAGGUCAGCGGCUCCCAGCUCUGCCAGGCCAUUCCCAGCUGCUGCAAUACAUGGAGCGAUACGGGAAGCGUUUGAAGGCCAAGAACCUGAUGUACCUGAAGCAGAUCCUAUAUUUGCUGGAGAAAUUCGUGGCCGUGCUGGGGGGUGAGAGUCCUGUCCCCCUGCUGACCCCCGGCCUGCAAAACCUGCCGGGCUGCUUUUUCCUUGGAUGCCCAUCAGGACGCCUCAGUUCUCUGUGUUUUUAAGAAGGGUUGGCCGGGCGUUGUGGCUCAUGCCUGUAAUCCCAGCACUUGGGAGGCCGAGGCGGGUGGUUCACCUGAAGUCAGGAGUUUAAGACCAGCCUGACCAACAUGGUGAAACCCCGUCUGUACUAAAAAUACAAAAAAAAAUUAGCCAGGAGUGUUGGUGUGGCCUGUAGUCCCAGCUACUCCAGAGGCUAAGGCAAGAGAAUUGCUUGCUCAAACCUGGGAGGCAGAGGUUGCAGUGAGCCGAGAUCGUGCCACUGCACUCCAGUCUGGGCAACAGAGUGAGAAUCCAGCUC
RNAcentral lists this small RNA (2062 nucleotides) under Pongo abelii (Sumatran orangutan). RNAcentral's name for it is "retained intron". The record is from RNAcentral. Lineage: Eukaryota; Metazoa; Chordata; Mammalia; Primates; Hominidae.